RNAcentral lists this ribosomal RNA (421 nucleotides) under uncultured eukaryote. RNAcentral describes it as "bacterial SSU rRNA". It matches the Rfam family "Eukaryotic small subunit ribosomal RNA", at positions 592 to 1013 of the family's 1831-position model. The record is from RNAcentral.
CAAUAGCGUAUAUUAAAGUUGUUGCAGUUAAAAAGCUCGUAGUUGGAUUUCUGGUCGGAGCGACCGGUCGGCGUCCUUUGUGGCGUGUGCACUGUUGUCGGCUCCGUCCAUCCUAGUGGGAAGGCGCGUGGGCAUUCAUUUGUUCGCGCGUGGCCCCGCUACGUUUACUGUGAAAAAAUUAGAGUGUUUAAAGCAGGCCUUCGCCUUGAAUACAUUAGCAUGGAAUAAUAAGAUAGGACUUUGGUCUAUUUUGUUGGUUUGCAGACCGAAGUAAUGAUAAUAGGGAUAGUUGGGGGUAUUUAUAUUCCGAUGUCAGAGGUGAAAUUCUUAGAUUUUCGGAAGAUAAACUUAUGCGAAAGCAUUUACCAAGGAUGUUUUCAUUAAUCAAGAACGAAAGUUAGGGGAUCGAAGAUGAUCAGAU